GAUUUCUGACAUUAAUGCGUUUGGCCCGCUACGGUUACGUAUGUGAGUGCCGAAUCGUGUUUGUCAUCCUUCUAAAAAAUAUUAGUAUUGCUCUUCAUUGAGUAUUGUAUUAAUACAUUUUUAGAUCUUUUACUUUGAAAAAAUUAGAGUGUUUAAAGCAGGCGUUUGCUAUGAAUACAUUAGCAUGGAAUAAUAAUUUAGGACUUUGGUUCUAUUUUGUUGGUUUCUAGAACUGAAGUAAUGAUUGAUAGGGAUAGUUGGGGGUGCUAAUAUUCAAUGGCCAGAGGUGAAAUUCUUGGAUUCAUUGAAGAUUAACUUAUGCGAAAGCAUU
Molecule: ribosomal RNA, 331 nt
Filed under: Allapsidae sp.
Lineage: Eukaryota; Cercozoa; Glissomonadida; Viridiraptoridae
Description: SSU rRNA
Rfam family: Eukaryotic small subunit ribosomal RNA (bases 124-331)
Source: RNAcentral